RNAcentral lists this ribosomal RNA (309 nucleotides) under uncultured bacterium. RNAcentral's name for it is "partial 16S ribosomal RNA". It matches the Rfam family "Bacterial small subunit ribosomal RNA", at positions 504 to 808 of the family's 1533-position model. The record is from RNAcentral.
AGAGACAGCAGUAGCCACGGAAUACGGAGGGUGCAAGCGUUAUCCGGAUUUAUUGGGUUUAAAGGGUCCGUAGGCGGAUCUGUAAGUCAGUGGUGAAAUCUCACAGCUUAACUGUGAAACUGCCAUUGAUACUGCAGGUCUUGAGUAAGUUUGAAGUGGCUGGAAUAAGUAGUGUAGCGGUGAAAUGCAUAGAUAUUACUUAGAACACCAAUAGCGAAGGCAGGUCACUAAGAUUUAACUGACGCUGAUGGACGAAAGCGUGGGGAGCGAACAGGAUUAGAUACCCCCGUAGUCCCUGUCUCUUAUACA